GUGAGGCACAUCUGAGCCUCUGAGCGGUGAGGAGACGGCGGAUUGCCGA
RNAcentral lists this small nucleolar RNA (49 nucleotides) under Pyrobaculum aerophilum str. IM2. RNAcentral describes it as "PAEsR109". Lineage: Archaea; Thermoproteati; Thermoproteota; Thermoprotei; Thermoproteales; Thermoproteaceae. The record is from RNAcentral.